CCUUUGGAAGAGAUGGGUAAUACUGUAUAAUCCCUGCGGGGGAAAGAUUUAUCGCUAAUGGAUGAGCCUAUGUUAGAUUAGCUAGUUGGUGGGGUAAUAGCCUACCAAGGCUACGAUCUAUAGCUGGUCUGAGAGGAUGAUCAGCCACACUGGAACUGAGACACGGUCCAGACUCCUACGGGAGGCAGCAGUGGGGAAUAUUGGACAAUGGGCGCAAGCCUGAUCCAGCUAUGCCGCGUGAGUGAAGAAGGCCUUAGGGUUGUAAAACUCUUUCAGCAGGGAAGAUAAUGACGGUACCUGCAUAAGAAGUCCCGGCAAACUCCGUGCCAGCAGCCGCGGUAAUACGGAGGGGGCAAGCGUUGUUCGGAAUUAAA
This 374-nucleotide ribosomal RNA is filed under the name uncultured Anaplasma sp. RNAcentral describes it as "bacterial SSU rRNA". It matches the Rfam family "Bacterial small subunit ribosomal RNA", at positions 147 to 555 of the family's 1533-position model. Lineage: Bacteria; Pseudomonadati; Pseudomonadota; Alphaproteobacteria; Rickettsiales; Anaplasmataceae. The record is from RNAcentral.